GACGAACGCUGGCGGCGCGCUUAACACAUGCAAGUCGAACGGAAAGGCCUGCUUUCCCUUGUGGAUUGCGGGUACUCGAGUGGCGAACGGGUGAGUAACACGUGAGUGAUCUGCCCCCAACUUGGGUAUAAGCCUGGGAAACUGGGUCUAAUUCCCGAUAGGACUGCAGGGUGGUGCCUGUGGUGGAAAACGAUUUUCUAAUGGUUGGGGAUGAGCUCGCGGCCUAUCAGCUUGUUGGUGGGGUAAUGGCCUACCAAGGCGGCGACGGGUAGCCGGCCUGAGAGGGUGGACGGCCACAUGGGGACUGAGAUACGGCCCAGACUCCUACGGGAGGCAGCAGUGGGGAAUAUUGCACAAUGGGCGGAAGCCUGAUGCAGCGACGCCGCGUGGGGGAUGACGGCCUUCGGGUUGUAAACUCCUUUCGACCGCGAGGAAGCCACCUGGUUGGAAGGGUGGUGACGGUAGUGGUAGAAGAAGCACCGGCUAACUACGUG
Molecule: ribosomal RNA, 494 nt
Filed under: uncultured bacterium
Lineage: Bacteria
Description: partial 16S ribosomal RNA
Rfam family: Bacterial small subunit ribosomal RNA
Source: RNAcentral